This 7757-nucleotide long non-coding RNA is filed under the name Xyrichtys novacula (pearly razorfish). The record is from RNAcentral. Lineage: Eukaryota; Metazoa; Chordata; Actinopteri; Labriformes; Labridae.
UGUCUUUGUAUAUGUAAGGUAGAUGCUGAGUUGCGCCACUAGGUGUCGCUGCACAUUAAAACAAGAGUUUACUAUUGAGAAUUGCCUUUUGUCCCUCUGACACACCGUAGGGGUUGAUAUCGCGGGUGUAAUGAGCAUUUCCUUUAGAGUUCUGAUAUCAACCUUGUAGACCCCUGUGUUGUGAAUAAACCAACGGUAUUGCCACGAUCCCGAACCCAUCUGUGUCCGUGUGCAUCUCCUUACCGGCUGCCGCUGCACCCCCCGCCAGAGGUCCAUUUCACACAUAAGCAGACACAACGCAGAGUAGCCUAGCUGUGGAGGUGUUGGAGAGCCGGCAGGCGCGCGCGAGAUACAGAGAGAGGGCUACAACUUUGGUGCCGUGACCCGGAUCGUGGUGUUGCCUUACCGAAGAGGGAAUUCUACAACCAGGCUUGUAUUGAACAUUGAACCGUGAACUUUUCCUGGAGCUGACGGACAUUUGCAACUUUUUUUUCAUGGUUCUGAAGCAACGUUACCGCCCCAGCUAUAUCCUUUGGAGACUGUUGUGAAUACGAAUUACUACUGCUAUUGCAUUUUGAAUAUUUUUCUAAUGGGUAAGCUGAAUUUUGAGUGGAAAUUAAUGGUAAACUGAAGCUAUUUAAAGCUAUUUGAUAUUCGAGGAUAUUUUUCUGUUUGUUUCAAGACUCAUUUAAGCUUGUGUAUUCAGCUAACUGAUAUUUAGUGACAUUUUUGAGUUGAACAUUUAAGUGAACUGACUAAGUAAUUAAGUUUAAUGGCCUAUUAAGUUAAGUUUUUAGACAUAGCUGAUAUUUUUUGGUUACUCUGGUAAUACUGAAAGACAUAUUACACUGCAUUACACACAGACAGUAUUGAAAUACUUUAUUUGCACACAGUAAUUGCAUAUUUCAGACACACACAUUGCGUUGUUACGGCAACAUUUAUUUUGCAUUUCACAUAAAACAUAUAGCAAGAUGACACAGAAUUACACUGAUUCAGCACUUGAGCUGCAAAGUCCCUCCACUGUGACGCCCAGCCUCUUACCUCCAGCUGGGCCUGAAGCAAGUGGUUCAAUGCCCCCUUUGCAACGACACGCUUUCCCAUCCUCCAUGUAUUCAGCUUAUGAGGCUCAGUACAUCACGCCAGUCCGUCCAUCCAGACAGCCGGGCUCCGGGGCUUCAGGACAGAUACCCCCGCUCUGCCUUGACAUCAGUCCUGUCACCAACCCAAGCAGCCCGACGGAGACACCGGCGAAUGCCUCUGUUCACACCCCCAGCGAGCAUGGACCCACAGCCUCCCUGCCUCCACAAAGCACCCCACACAGUGUUAGCGCUCAGAGGCCAGCGGUUCACCGGCUCCCCAUGCCCUACCCCAGAGCCACCCCCUAUGCUUUCCAGUCUGUUAGACCCAGCCCCCCAGUAUACCUAGGCUAUGCACACUCCACCCCUGCAACCCAAAUGCCUGGGCCACGUUUCCAAAUACCGUUAGCAGCAAGCAUAGCUAACCAGCCUGCUGCUAUGGGGCGGACCCCUCAAGUGCAUUUCUCUGAAACAUCUAGUAAUGUUCUGGGUUCCAGCCAUAGUGAUUCAGUGCCCCUACCCCCUGCUCAUGGGUAUGCCCCCAACACCACCCCCUAUAGCCCCCCUGUAAUGUCUGAGCAUACUGCUGCUGAUAUUCACCCCGAUCCUGCAACAUUGCCUAGCCUGUACAGUUACCCACAAGCGCCGCAUUCACAGACCCCUGUUCAAACUAGAGCCAGUGCAAGCCCCCCAGUGUCAGCCUAUGGUGGUUUCAUGCAAACGCAUCAAGUGAAAAAUGUUCCAGUCUUCACGGGUAAUCCAGACUGCAAGAUUUUAGUGGAGGACUGGGUGCGUGACAUGCAAUAUCUCCUGGAAGCGAUUGAACUCCCCACGCACCUGCGUUUUUCCACGGUGGUGAGGCACCUGGGCGGUGAAGCCCGGAAGUUAAUUCUAAACAUACCCAUCCAUAACCAGAGCCCAGAGAAAGCAUUCGAGGAACUGAGAGCAGAGUAUGGCGACGCAAGAGGGUCUUUAGACCCAUUAGCUGACUUCUAUGAGCGGAGCCAAAACCCGGGUGAGUCCGUCUGCUCUUAUGCUAUAGCGCUGGAGUCGAAACUGCGUGCUGUUGAAGAGAAGCAGAGGGGAGGCAAGCCUUUCCCCGACCGUGACAGCAAACUCACCCGCCAGUUCAUGAGAGGGCUCACCGAUGAAGAGGUGUAUAUGAGAAUAGCACCCAUGACACCUAGACUGCUGAGCUUUCGAGAGCUGCAGAAUGAGCUCCGUAACCUGGCAAGAGAAAACAAAAAGUUCCAGUCUCAAAACAAAGGGAAAAAGACUGUUACCCAAGUACAUGUUACGCCAGAGGGAGAUAGAAAUGUGAAACCUGAAAAGGUAAACCCCACUUCUGAAUUAUCAGAGUUGACUGAGAUUGUAAAGAGGCUAGCUCUUAAGCAAGAAGAACAAAUGGCCAAGUUGUCCCACCUUGAGCGGAGAAUAGCUUCACCACCCCCUACCCCCAUCCAAGCAGUUCAGCCCCCACGGGCUAGGGCGGCCCCAAGCACAAGCUUCAUCUGUUAUCGGUGUGGUAAGCUCGGCCACACCGCCCGAAUUUGUAGAGCAGUGCUGCCAGCCCCUGCCCCUGCUGGAACCCCCCAACCAAACGCCCCUGCCGUGGGGCCCACACCCCAAUCAGACCAGCCUUUAAACGCUUAAGGCCCAUGGUAGCUGGGGCAACCAUGGGCAUACAGCGAGGCCCCCAUCCACCCACAAGAGACAUUAGCACUGGAAAAGAGGAGACACCUCUAGUCGGGCCCAGGAACGAAGGAGAAGUCGAAGUCAACGGCAUGCAGUGUAGGGCUCUCAUUGACUCUGGCUCCCAGAUAACCAGCAUCACACACAGCUACUGGCAGAGCCACCCUGUCUUGCAGAGACUGAAGCUAAAGCCCUCCAAAGUACCCAUAGAGGGCGCAGCUGGCCAAACUGUGCCCUACCACGGUGUGGUGAAUAUUGACUUGAAAGUUCUUGGAAAAGAGCAUAAAGCUGUGCCUACCUUCGUAGUUCCUGACUCCGACUACCGUUCUUCAGUCCCCCUUCUAGUGGGCACAAAUGUCAUCAGAGCCUCCCGCAGCCACCUCCAAGCGUCAUAUGGCCAGCAGUUCCUCCAUCUGGUGAAAGAGAAGCAUCCAGAGUGGUACACAGCACUGCUGAAGGUGGGGAGCGCCGAGCAAAGUGAAAUGCAUGAUGUGGUAGGUCCUGCUGUGUACACCGGCCGUAAAGUACGCAUUCCUGCGGGUAAAGAGAUGGAUUUGAGAUGCAAGAUUAAAGAUGGUCCUCGGAGAAAGAUCUACACUGCCCUGAUUGAGAGCCAGGCCUCGGUGCGUCUUCCCCAAGACCUCCUGGUUGCCAAAGUUCUUGUUGAUGUAAAGGGAGGAUGUGCUCCAGUUAGAGUGAUGAACCUGUCCCAGCGUGUCAUAACUAUUAAGCCCCACACAACCCUGGCCAGUGCCGUCCUGAUACACCGCGUUCUGGAGUUUCCUGAGAACGAGGGGGGGGGGCCUGGGAACAAGGAGGCAUGCCUCAGCCUGGGACAAGUGGUGGCGAGCUGUGGUGUGGACCUAAGUGACGCGGCAGUGGAGACCGAAGAUCAACGCACCAGUCUGGAAACACUGCUAAACAAGAAUGCGGAUGUGUUCUUGCAGCACUCCCUGGACUAUGGCCACACCACAACCAUACAGCACGAGAUCCCACUGGUAGACUCAAGGCCUUUCCGAUUACCCUACCGUAAGAUACCCCCAUCCCAAUGGCAAGACGUGCGGCGCAUGUUAACUGAGAUGGAGGCAACCGGGGUCAUCCGUCCAAGUAAAAGCCCUUAUGCCUCACCAGUGGUCGUCGUGACCAAGAAAGAUGGGUCAUUAAGACUCUGUAUUGACUACAGAAAGCUUAACUCCUGCAGCACCCGAGAUGCGUUUCCUCUACCAAGAAUUGAGGAGGCCUUAGAGUCGUUAGGACAAGCUAAAUACUUCUCCACGCUCGACCUGACCUCCGGUUAUUGGCAAGUGGAGGUAGCGGAACACGACAAGCACAAGACAGCCUUUAGCACUCCCAUGGGGCUUUUCGAGGCCAACAGAAUGCCAUUUGGGCUUCAAAACGCCCCCUCCACAUUCCAGAGGUUAAUGACCUGUUGCUUCGGUGACUUGAACUUUACGCAUCUACUUAUUUAUUUGGACGACAUAAUUAUUUUUUCUUCGACCUUCAGUGAACACCUAGACCGACUGCAGUGUGUCUUCAAUCGGCUUAGAGAGCAUGGCUUGAAGCUUAAGCCGUCAAAGUGCCAGUUCGUGAGAAAGGAAGUGAACUACCUGGGUCAUCUGGUGUCGGCAGACGGCAUCAGGACGGACCCGGAGAAGAUCAGCCGUGUCAAAGACUGGCCGAGGCCUACAGACCGCAGGGAAGUGCUUCAAUUCCUUGGGUUUGCUGGCUACUAUAGACGCUACGUCAAGUCAUACUCCAGUCUAGCUGCACCCUUGUACCGCCUCACCUCGGGAGACCCUAGAAGCAAGAAGAGAGGGGCCCAGAAGAAUCCAGCCCCCGAUCCGACCUUUCUGUGGACUUCUGAGUGUGAGGAGGCAUUCCUGGCGUUGAAAGAGAAGCUGACCAAUGCACCGGUCCUGGGCUAUCCAGAUUACAGCCUGCCCUUCCUGCUGCAGACUGACGCGUCGAGAGAUGGGCUUGGGGCUGUGCUUGCACAGAUCCAGGGUGGAGCAGAGAGAGUUGUCGCUUACGCUAGCAGAGGCUUGACCCCACCUGAGACGAGAUAUCCUGCGCACAAGCUCGAAUUCCUCGCUCUUAAGUGGGCGGUCACAGACAAAUUCCAUGACCACCUUUAUGGACGCAAGUUCUCUGUGCUAACGGACAACAACCCUCUGAAGUACGUAAUGAGCACUGCCAAACUCGACGCCACUGGCCAGCGGUGGGUUUCUCACCUGUCGAUCUUUGAUUUUGAUAUCCAGUAUAGGAGGGACCAAGACAACUCUAACGCCGACGCCCUUUCACGCAUGUCCAACCAAGAGGUCAGUGAAGUCCUGCAGACUUGCCCCCAGCAAGUGGUAGCUGAUGUAAAGGGGCAGAAUGAGACACAUGGCACCCAGGAAGUGGAGGAGUCCUCCGGGGAAACUGCUGCUUCUAUGGAGGCGCCAGAGAGUGGCCAGCUGUUGGAGCCGAGUCGACCCUAUGGAGACGUGGGAAUGGAGGCACUGCCCGCUAUGACAACACAGGAGAUUCGGGCAGCGCAAAGAGAAGAUCCGGACAUUGGUCCAGUCCUGCACUUCAAGUCCCGCAACCGGAAACCAAGCCGCACCGAGAGGGUGGAAGUGGGUGCAAGUGGGGGCCUUCUCUUAAAAGAGUGGAGGAGAUUAGUGGUGAAGAAUGGUGUCAUUUACCGGCGGGUCCGUGACUGCCAUAGAGGAGAGUUGGAGCAGCUAAUACUGCCACAGAGGCUGCGUGUAGCUGUUAAAACUGCUCUUCAUGAUGAUUCCGGACAUUUAGGAUUUGAGAGAACAUUGCAGAUGAUACGUGAGAGAUUUUAUUGGCCAAGAAUGUUUCAAGAGAUUAAAGCCUGGUGUGAGCAGUGUGAGCGAUGUUGCCUGAGAAAGACUCCCACAGCUAACGUCAGAGCUCCCCUAGUCAGUAUACACACCAGUGCCCCCAUGGAGUUAGUCUGCAUGGACUAUUUGACGCUUGAGAAGUCCAAAGGUGGCAUUGAAAAUGUGCUCGUUGUCACUGACCACUUCUCCCGUUACGCGCAGGCCUACCCCACCAGGGACCAAAAGGCGGGCACAGUGGCAAGAGUAUUGUGGAGGAACUACUUCAGUCGUUUCGGCUUCCCUGCAAAGCUGCAUUCGGAUAGGGGGCGCAACUUCGAAAGUGCUAUUGUGAAAGAGCUGUGCAAGUGUACCGGCAUUACUAAAACACACACGUCGCCCUACCAUCCUCAGGGGAAUGGGACCACCGAGAGGUUCAACCGUACCCUGAUGAAUAUGCUGGGGACACUAAAGCCGCACUUGAAGCCUCGGUGGCACGAACACUUGGAUGCCAUGACACAUGCAUAUAACUGCUCACAACACGACUCCACCGGGUAUAGCCCGUACUACCUGAUGUUUGGUAGGUACCCACGGCUCCCGAUUGACCUGAUUUUCGGGUCCCCCACCGCAAAUCAGCCCUGUGGAUACCACGAGUAUGUCCAGACUCUGCAUGAUUCUUUGACGGAGGCUUAUACCCUGGCUAACCAAACAUCUCAGCAUGCUAAAGAGCAGCAGAAAAAGUACUAUGAUCUGAAAGCCAGAAGUGAAGACUUUGCUGCUGGGGACCGAGUCUUAGUCAAAGUUUGCCAUGUGGAGGGGAGACAGAAACUGGGAGACCGUUGGGAGUCACGCCCAUAUGUCAUUGUCAAGAAGCAGCCCAACGUACCUGUUUAUGUGGUGAGACCGGAGAAUGGAGGACCGGAGAGGGUGCUGCACAGAAACCUCCUUACCCAGUGCAUGUUCCUGCCUGUGGAUCGAAGUAACCUAGUCUUGGAGGAGAGCCAGCUGGAUAAUGAACCGUGUGAGACUGGUGUUGAUCUGGGUGAAGAUGACAGUAUGGAGGAAGUGGAAGAUGGGGCUUUGACUGGAGCAGUUGGGGGAGAAGAGCACCCCAGCACCGAACUGACCGACACAGAGACACAAGGGGAUAUGCUGGUGACCAGUGGUGGUACCUCUUCCUCUCGAGGCGUUGACACUCCAAGGAGAAGGCCGAGAAGGAGUCGACGUCCUCCCCUGAAACUGUCUUUAGAGUGCCGGGCCAUGGAAGUGGAAAGUGACCAGCAGAAGAUAGAGAGAGGAAGAAAGUUGUGGCAAAGGGCCAAAGCAAGAAGAGCAGCUGGACACAUUUAGGGCCACGUAGUGCACACACCUAGAUGAGUCAGCUCCCCCACACACACAUUUUCUACACACUUUAUACACACACACACACACACUUGUCACAUAUUUGUUUAUUUUUGAAGUUCUUUGAGUUACCUCAUGAGUCUCUUUUGAAUGAGUCUGAUGGCGGGGACGCCAUCUCUUAAAGAAGGGGUGGGUGUAAGGUAGAUGCUGAGUUGCGCCACUAGGUGUCGCUGCACAUUAAAACAAGAGUUUACUAUUGAGAAUUGCCUUUUGUCCCUCUGACACACCGUAGGGGUUGAUAUCGCGGGUGUAAUGAGCAUUUCCUUUAGAGUUCUGAUAUCAACCUUGUAGGUAAGUCACGUUAGUUUCAUGGGAAGAUAAAGUACGAAAUAUUAAGCAUAUAAGCUGUUAUAAGUUUGUUUUGAUGAGCUAUUUUGAUGACUGAAACAUUAAGCACUUGAUAGCUGUGUAAUUUGUUGAGCUAACUACUUUAUAUUUUUGGUAAAAUCUACGUUUGGAAUACGAGUGUAAUAGCGCUAACUUGAAUGAGAUGUAGCAUUGUAAUACACUUUUCUAUUUGAAGUUUACUGAGAGUUCUGAUAUCAACCUUGUAGACCCCUGUGUUGUGAAUAAACCAACGGUAUUGCCACGAUCCCGAACCCAUCUGUGUCCGUGUGCAUCUCCUUACCGGCUGCCGCUGCCCCCCCCGCCAGAGGUCCAUUUCACACAUAAGCAGACACAACGCAGAGUAGCCUAGCUGUGGAGGUGUUGGAGAGCCGGCAGGCGCGCGCGAGAUACAGAGAGAGGGCUACAUAUACAU